This 213-nucleotide ribosomal RNA is filed under the name uncultured bacterium. RNAcentral's name for it is "partial 16S ribosomal RNA". It matches the Rfam family "Bacterial small subunit ribosomal RNA", at positions 521 to 733 of the family's 1533-position model. The record is from RNAcentral.
UAAUACGUAGGGUGCAAGCGUUGUCCGGAAUUAUUGGGCGUAAAGAGCUCGUAGGCGGUUUGUCGCGUCGAAUGUGAAAACCCGGGGCUCAACUCCGGGCCUGCAUUCGAUACGGGCAGACUAGAGUUCGGUAGGGGAGACUGGAAUUCCUGGUGUAGCGGUGAAAUGCGCAGAUAUCAGGAGGAACACCGGUGGCGAAGGCGGGUCUCUGGG